AACGAACGCUGGCGGCAUGCCUAACACAUGCAAGUCGAACGAAGUCUUCGGACUUAGUGGCGCACGGGUGCGUAACGCGUGGGAAUCUGCCCUUGGGUGCGGAAUAACUUCUCGAAAGGGAUGCUAAUACCGCAUAAUGUCGUAAGACCAAAGAUUUAUCGCCCAAGGAUGAGCCCGCGUAAGAUUAGCUAGUUGGUGGGGUAAAAAGCCUACCAAGGCGACGAUCUUUAGCUGGUCUGAGAGGAUGAUCAGCCACACUGGGACUGAGACACGGCCCAGACUCCUACGGGAGGCAGCAGUGGGGAAUAUUGGACAAUGGGCGAAAGCCUGAUCCAGCAAUGCCGCGUGAGUGAUGAAGGCCCUAGGGUUGUAAAGCUCUUUUACCCGAGAUGAUAAUGACAGUAUCGGGAGAAUAAGCUCCGGCUAACUCCGUGCCAGCA
This 440-nucleotide ribosomal RNA is filed under the name uncultured bacterium. Its description in RNAcentral is "bacterial SSU rRNA". It matches the Rfam family "Bacterial small subunit ribosomal RNA", at positions 29 to 513 of the family's 1533-position model. The record is from RNAcentral.